GGCGAUGUGGGUGAGUGGUCUAAGCCAAGGGUCUGCAAAACCCUUUAUCACAAGUUCGAAUCUUGUCAUCGCCU
Molecule: transfer RNA, 74 nt
Organism: Chlorobium ferrooxidans DSM 13031
Lineage: Bacteria; Pseudomonadati; Chlorobiota; Chlorobiia; Chlorobiales; Chlorobiaceae
Rfam family: tRNA
About the family: Transfer RNA (tRNA) molecules are approximately 80 nucleotides in length. Their secondary structure includes four short double-helical elements and three loops (D, anti-codon, and T loops).
Source: Rfam